Molecule: long non-coding RNA, 6008 nt
Filed under: Homo sapiens (human)
Lineage: Eukaryota; Metazoa; Chordata; Mammalia; Primates; Hominidae
Description: HSALNT0027002
Source: RNAcentral
CGCGCGCACCUGCAGACGCUGCACGUCUUAAGUUUCGAAACGGCCCCCCUCUCCGCCCUGGGGGAGCCGGGAGGAUGUGCAGCCCCAGUCCUCCUGCUCGGCGGAGCCUCGCGCGCGCAGAGCCUAGCGCGAUUCGCGCCCUCAUUACUACUACAAAGCGCGGGCCAGACCAAUCCCCUUUCUAAUGCACCAUUUUCGACUGAGAACAUCAAGAGGCCAGAAACUUCCAAGUCAGCUUGCAGACGCAGACGCCUCCUGGGGUCCUGGCUUUAAGAACCAGAUGCCAACACUCCCGGACAGUUUAUGGCAUCCGGAUCCCUCAAGGGUGCUCAUCUGCAGUUGAGAGUCUAAUAAAUGGCAUUAACAAAGCGUUUCAGCGACUACCACGGCUUCACAGUGGCUCCUCCCCUGCCCUGCCACCAUUCAGGCUGUAAUUCCUUCCAGGAUUCCCGCACCAUCCUGUGUGCCCAGAGCUCUCUAGAGCACCAGGAUUCUGUGUGAAGAAUACAGAGACAGACGUUCCAUUUCAAAGAAAAAAGAGCAACACGAAGGCCCUCUUUAAGGAGAGAGUAAACAUUCACUUUAGGUAAAAAAUAGUCUUUUACACGCCUGUGCACGGCACACCUCUUUUGCUGUUCACCUUGAGCCCAAGAGUUUGGAAAGGCUGCCCCCAUUUCAGAGAGGAAGAAACGCAGGCACACGUGAAUGACAGACUCCUCUGUGGUGGCCUAGACUCCAGCCAACACUUCCUAGGACAGCCUGCCAUUGUGCAAAGUCACCAUGUAACAAAUGCAGACAUCUCUGAGAUCACCAUGCAGUGAGGAAGUCUAAGCUGGUGGCAUGAAGAGGCCACAUGGAAAGGGCUAAAAAAGGGGCCAGCCUCAGUCAUCCCAGCUGAGCACCUGGCUGGGAAUAAAAGAGGACUCCGUGGAUGUCCAGCCCAGUAAGAUGACCUCAGCCCCAGCCACCAACUGACCAAGCACACAAGACAUCGUGAGGCUGCCUGCUGGAGCCUGGCCAGUGGGACUGUAGAGUAACUCAUUGUCGUGCAGGAACUCCUGGGAUGGUGUUGCCCAGUGACACAAUCCCAGUGUGGCCAUUUCUGAUCCCGAGAAAGCAGUCAGGAGUGGGUGGAUGCAGUUACAGUUCAUCAAGUCCUGCUAGUUCAAGUCAUGAGUCCUGAAUUCUCCAGGAGGAGCCACUAAAGAAAUGCAGAAGCAGGCAAUCCUUGCAAUAAGGCCAGCAAACUGCCAGUGUGAAGGAUGCCCAGGUAACCUGCCCAUGCCAGAACGGCCAGGAGAUGGUGGAACCAGAAUCUAAGCCCACGCCCAUCUGACCUCAAAGUCUGUGCUCCUGAGGUUCGCACCGAGUUGCCUCCUAAGACUUGCUGAAACUGGAUCACGUCCAUUUACCCAUCUCUGAGAGAAAUGCAAGCUUUAAAAAAGGAAAUAUUUACUAUGGAUAUUUUACAAUAGUUCCAAAACAUGAAAGUUUUAAAUAAGAUAUUCUUAACCAUCCUCACCACAUCUUCAGGUUCCCUUACAGCCACUGUGUUUUGACGAUUGCCCAUUAGAAAAAAAGACUAUGCUUUCUGUAGGUUUUAAAGGAAUGGUGGUGAAAUAAGGAGCAUUCCCUGAGCAGAUCUUGCCUGCGGGCACACCUCUGAGCAUUGGACCAGGCGAGAAGAGCCCAUGUGUUGGCUGCUUUGGGAUCCCAGCACUGCCAAUGGCAGGUGGGCUGUGGCCCAGGGAGAGAACCUAGCCUUUUGCAUUCUCUUGCCCCAUUUGAAAAUGGAGACGAUAGUGGCGCCCCGCUCAGUGUUAUUUUGAGGAUUUGAAUGUAUCUCAGAUGUAGUACCUGGAAAAAUAUAAGUGCUCAGUAAAUACGGUUGCCAGAUAAAAUGCAGGAAACCUAUUUAAAUUUAAGUUUUGGCUGGACAAUGAAUAGAAUAAUUUUUCUUAGUAUGAGUAUGUCCUUAUAUUUCAUCUGCUAAAUUUAGCAACCUCCUCAGUAAACGAUCACUACAAUUGCAGAAACGCCUUAUGACAGAUAUAGUAAAUCUGUAAAGAAAUAGGAACUUGCAUUUAUUUUUACUAAGCUCUGACUGGUUAAGAUAACUGGGCAAGAGAAGAUAUCUUCGACUAAACUUGCAGCACAUAGAGUAUAGAGAUUCAAAUUUGAAGUCCUAUAGGACUAGAAUGGCCAGAGGUGAACUGUAGCGAGCUUAUCUAAAGAGGACCAAUUUCAAAAGUUCCUCAGAGACUUAAAUGGGCCCACAGACCCCUCCUGUGUCUUUGCAUAAGCCAGCUCGUUAUAUCAGUUAUAAGUUGAUUUCCAGAGAAAUGUACCCUGGAGAUCCCUCUCCCACUUGAAAUAGGACUGGCCAAUCCAGAUGUCCCCCAGGUGAUGUUGGCUCAAAUGGAGCUCCAUAUAUUGGAGAAUCUAUUCAAGAAAACAAGCAAAAGUAUUUGUGACUGAGUUAGCUAAUGCCAGCUGGUAUCUUGAACAAACCCAGAUCUCUAACAUGCUAGUUUAUUUCGUAGUGUAAAAUGUGUGUUACUGAUGGGCAGACAGCUCUCAUUCAAGCAGUGACAGAUGUAAGCUCUUCCCAUUUUUGUGGCCCCAUUGUAUUCGGCGUGUGGCUUCCAAGUUGCCUGGGAUCAUCUCCACCCAGACUAAGGAAGAGGAAAGAGCUUGGACAACUGCACUUGGCUGGUUUUUAUGGAUCAGGCAAGGAAUUGGCUCCAACACAUUAGCUCACAUUCCAUUGGUUAGAACUGGGUUUCUCAACUAUUAGUACAGGGUGAGUGUAGGGUUUUGGCACCAUGGGCAUUUGAGCUGGCCAAAGGCUAAUCAGAGUUAGAACAAAGCCACAAAGCCUGUGAAUGGUGUUUAUUGUUGUGAGGAGCUGUCUUGUGCAUUGUGGAAUGUUCAGCAGGAUGCUCUCUGGCCUCAGAGACUCACUAGAUUCCCAUAGAACUCUCCUCUCUCCUCUAGUUGUGACAACCACAGUUGCCUCCUCUCCAGACAUUGCUAGAUGUCCCCGGGAGGCAAAAUUGUCCUGGUUGAGAACCACUGUGUUAGAACUCGGUCACAUGGCCAUACCUAACUGCAAGGGAGGGGGCUGGAAGAUCUAGACGAGUAGUAUGCCAGGAAGAAAAUAGAACUGAUUUAGAGGCUGCUGGCCAGUCACUUUCAGUGACCUUCAGCAUACUUAUUCCUCUGCAGCUGUCAGGACACUCAUGCCUGUUUCUGAGAUGUUUCCUGUGUGAGGGGACAUAGUGACUAUUGGAGGGGUGACAUGUUGGACUUGGGUAGGGUGAAGAGGAUUGGAAACCACCAUCAUGUUUGGCAGCAUUGAAUGUUUAUGACUAUUUGAAUAGUUGUGACAAGGGUACAGUGAAGGAGGAAGUAACCAUUUUUGAAUACCCUUUUACAAUUUGCAAAGCACUUUUAAAGGUAAGAGUGAGUUCCUAGACCAUAUUAGGGUGAGAAUGGACAUUGUUGGCUGCCAUAUCAUUGGGCAGGGGCUUUGAGAUUUUUGUCUUCAGAAGGCAGAUUAGAUUUGGAGUAGAAGGAGAAAUGUAAAGACCUGGUAUCUGAGUGUGUUUGCAGAGGGGAAUUGUCGUUUGGAAGCACAAGAAAGGGAAUGGCCCGUUGGCACAUAUGGUACAUUGUGUUUUCAUAUAAUUAUACCUGAAUGAAAGCAAGAGGAAACGUGUAGGAAGCUGUUUACAUAGUCCUUUUAAUAAUGUUUACAUGAGUUAAUGAACAUGCAAACGUAUCUGAUGAAAACAUGUCAGUAGUGAAACAGCCUUGUGAAGAAUCAGAUCUUACCUCAGGCUGGAAAAAAGGACUGGUUUUCCAAGCUCACAAAUUGCAGCCAGUGUGAAUAGUAGCACAAAUGACUGAGCUUUAAGACAUCCAUCCAUCCAUCUAUCCAUCCCCUCAUCCAUCCAUCCCCUCAUCCAUCCACCCAUCCAUCCAUCCCUUCAUCCAUCACUCCAUCCAGCCAUCCGUCCCUUCAUCAAUCCAUCCAUCCCUUCAUCCAUCCAUCCAUCCUUCCUUCCAUUCAUCCCUUCAUCCAUCCGUCCAUCCAUCCAUCCAUCCACUCAUUCAUCCCUUCAUCCAUCCAUCCAUCCAUCCUUCCUUCCUUCCAUUCAUCCCUUCAUCCAUCCGUCCAUCCAUCCAUCCACCCAUUCAUCCAUCCAUUCCUUCAUCAACUCAUCCCUUCAUCCAUCGUCUACCAUUCAUUCACCCCUUCAUCCAUCCAUUCAUUUAUCCAUCCGUCCAUUUACUUCCAUCCAUCCCUUUAUCCAUCCAUUCACCCAUUCAUCCCUUUAUCCAUAUGUCCAUUCCUCCAUCCAUCCAUCCAUCCAUUUACUCUUCAUCCCUUCAUCCAUUUUUCCAUCCAUUCAUCCAUUCAUCUUUUCAUCCAUCCAUCCAUUGAUCUAUCCAUCCAUCCAUUGCUCCAUCCAACCAUCCAUCCAUCCCUUCGUCCCUUCAUCCAUCCAUCCAUUCAUCCCAUCAUCCAUUGAUCACUUCAUCCAUCCAUCCUUCCAUCCUUCCAUCCAUUCUUCCAUUCAUCCAUCCAUGUGUUCAGCAAGUAUUUACUGAAUGCCUAUUAUGUGCCAAGCACUCUCCUCAGAACUUAGGAAAUACCAGGAAACAAAAUCAACAACAAUCCCUCACCACCUGGAUAUUACAUUUUGGUGGGAAGAGACAAAGAAAUAAAAUUGGUGAGUGAAUCACAUAGGUUAUUAGAAGGUGAUAAAGGUGUAGGUGAUAAAGGAGAAGUGCCAGGAGCAAGGAUUGGGUACAGUUGUGAAUAAGGUGGCCCCAAUAGGUUGCACUGAGAAGGUGACAUUUGCACAGAGACUUGAAGAAAGGAAGGAGAGAACAUGACUGUACCUGGGUAACAGCAUUUGUGGAAGAGGGAACAGCCAGUGUAAAAGUUCCAAGGCAUGAGUGCCUGGUACAUACAUGGAACAUCGAGGCCAGGGUGGCAGAAACGCGGUGAGUCCAGGAAGGGAAUAGGAACUAAGUGUAGGAAGGUGUACAGUGGGGUGGUGUGGGGGUGGAAUUGUGGCAGCCAGAUGGUGUUGGCCUAAGGCCUCUUGGCCCUUGUUAGGACUUGGUUUACCAUGGCGCAACACAUCCAUGAGAUUGGCAAAAAUUAAAAAGUCUGACAACAGAAAAUCUGGUAAUCUGGUGAGGAUGUGGAGCAGUGGGAAUUCUCCAAUACUGCCAGGGAGCAUGGGCAUCAAUCCCACCACACUGGAAUGCAAAGGGGCAUUCUGAGUAGAACUGAAGAUGUGCCCAUCCUUGACCCCACAGUUCCAGCCAUGGGCAUGCGCAUGAAUGUGCACACGUGUUGACUGCGGCAUUUGUUUGUCAUUAUGAAAACAUCUAAGUUUCCAUCUAUGGGAGAGGGGAUAAUGUGGGAGUGCCCAACAGUGGAGUUCUAGAGAGCAGUAAAAAUAAAUGGACUAGAGCUGCACACGUCAAAAUGGAUGAAGAUAAAAGACAUAAGGAUGGAAGAAGACCACCUGGCCACAGAAGUAUAUGUCCAAUAUGAUGCUGGUGUAUCCAGAGUGUUCAAACAAACAACACAACACUACUCAUUGUUUCCAACGUGAGUAUGAAAGUAUGGAGCAGUGCGGAGGGCCAGGAGUGCUGAAUCCACAUGGUUACUUCUCCAGGCGGGGGCCGAGGACCAGGGCUGGAGGUUUACUCCAGGAGCUUCAGUGGUGCAUGCUGAAUGUGCUGUUUCUUGGGCUGGGGGACAGAGAUGUGCAUGCUGUUAUACACUCUAUAUUGAAAUGAUUGUAUAACAAUAUACUAAUUUAUCAUGUAAUAAAUUUGACCAGAAAGAAACAACUGUUCUGUGGCUGCUUCCAUGACUGGAUUUCACGUUGUAGGUUUCUAAGCAGAGAGUCCAAGGAAAACCAAAGGAGCGGCGGAAGGAUAAGCCUCCCGGGUGUUCUGGGAGUGUCCCUUUGCUUGGG